This 443-nucleotide ribosomal RNA is filed under the name uncultured bacterium. RNAcentral's name for it is "partial 16S ribosomal RNA". It matches the Rfam family "Bacterial small subunit ribosomal RNA", at positions 338 to 795 of the family's 1533-position model. The record is from RNAcentral.
CCUACGGGAGGCAGCAGUGGGGAAUAUUGGACAAUGGGGGGAACCCUGAUCCAGCGACGCCGCGUGAGUGAAGAAGUAUUUCGGUAUGUAAAGCUCUAUCAGCAGGGAAGAAAGAAAUGACGGUACCUGACUAAGAAGCCCCGGCUAACUACGUGCCAGCAGCCGCGGUAAUCCGGAGGGGGCAAGCGUUAUCCGGAUUUACUGGGUGUAAAGGGGGCAUAGACGGCGAUGCAAGUCUGAAGUGAAAGGCGGGGGCCCAACCCCCGGACUGCUUUGGAAACUGUAUGGCUGGAGUGCAGGAGAGGUAAGUGGAAUUCCUAGUGUAGCGGUGAAAUGCGUAGAUAUUAGGAGGAACACCAGUGGCGAAGGCGGCUUACUGGACUGUAACUGACGUUGAGGCUCGAAAGCGUGGGGAGCAAACAGGAUUAGAUACCCUUGUAGUC